CAUGGAGGGAGGGGAUGUAAAAGAGCAGCGGUAUUUGGGAGGAGCUCUUUUUUUUCCCUUUCUCCUCUCUCCAAACCACUGGAAGGCAGUGAUGAGAAAAUGCCAGUGACAGGAAACCAGCUUUCCAAGAAGAGCAAAUGCCAGCUCCAGCUCCCUGGAGAAAGAAGCCUUGUCAUGGCCAAUUAUGGAAAGCCUGCCCAGGGGAGAUGUUUAUUCCUAACCCCUCAGUACCGCCUUCCCAAAGCCCUUCCUGUUGUGACCCCACUCAGCUCCAAGACUCCGGGAGACGCCAGUCGCUGCCACACAUUUUAGCUGACACGGAUUCCUGCCAGGCUCGUGACUGUACCCAGAACCAAGAAAAAAAAGCCGACUUGGGGUCAUAACCCCAUGUUUGCAAACCAUUGCCACAGCCGUUGGCUUUCGCUUGGAAGCAGGCCAUUUUUGUUUAAUUCCCGUAUCGUAUAACCACCAAUUUUCUCGGUGUACAUGCAGGGGCAAAACAGUGCCUUGCACAGCUGAAGCUGGGCAGGAAACAGGAGUGCAAUGAGGAGGCGCAGUCGCAGCAGCGUUGAGCACAGCGUCGUUCCCCCAGCCCUCAGGGAGCCUCCCGUCACCCCCACGUCCCCUGUGCUGCGAAGGGCUGUGGCCAGCUCUGCUCCAGCUGUAAACCCUGCUCCUUCCCUUCACAGGGUCCUCUCCUCACAUCCGUAACUCAAUGAAUUUGUGUUCCCUGGGCAGUAAAUAAAAAGCGUGGUUUCUGAUA
Molecule: long non-coding RNA, 763 nt
Organism: Cygnus atratus (black swan)
Lineage: Eukaryota; Metazoa; Chordata; Aves; Anseriformes; Anatidae
Exons: 2
Source: RefSeq, a predicted model, not a curated record